UGCCUGUAAGACUGGGAUAACUCCGGGAAACCGGGGCUAAUACCGGAUGUUUGUUUGAACCGCAUGGUUCAGACAUAAAAGGUGGCUUCGGCUACCACUUACAGAUGGACCCGCGGCGCAUUAGCUAGUUGGUGAGGUAACGGCUCACCAAGGCGACGAUGCGUAGCCGACCUGAGAGGGUGAUCGGCCACACUGGGACUGAGACACGGCCCAGACUCCUACGGGAGGCAGCAGUAGGGAAUCUUCCGCAAUGGACGAAAGUCUGACGGAGCAACGCCGCGUGAGUGAUGAAGGUUUUCGGAUCGUAAAGCUCUGUUGUUAGGGAAGAACAAGUGCCGUUCAAAUAGGGCGGCACCUUGACGGUACCUAACCAGAAAGCCACGGCUAACUACGUGCCAGCAGCCGCGGUAAUACGUAGGUGGCAAGCGUUGUCCGGAAUUAUUGGGCGUAAAGGGCUCGCAGGCGGUUUCUUAAGUCUGAUGUGAAAGCCCCCGGCUCAACCGGGGAGGGUCAUUGGAAACUGGGGAACUUGAGUGCAGAAGAGGAGAGUGGAAUUCCACGUGUAGCGGUGAAAUGCGUAGAGAUGUGGAGGAACACCGGUGGCGAAGGCGACUCUCUGGUCUGUAACUGACGCUGAGGAGCGAAAGCGUGGGGAGCGAACAGGAUUAGAUACCCUGGUAGUCCACGCCGUAAACGAUGAGUGCUAAGUGUUAGGGGGUUUCCGCCCCUUAGUGCUGCAGCUAACGCAUUAAGCACUCCGCCUGGGGAGUACGGUCGCAAGACUGAAACUCAAAGGAAUUGACGGGGGCCCGCACAAGCGGUGGAGCAUGUGGUUUAAUUCGAAGCAACGCGAAGAACCUUACCAGGUCUUGACAUCCUCUGACAAUCCUAGAGAUAGGACGUCCCCUUCGGGGGCAGAGUGACAGGUGGUGCAUGGUUGUCGUCAGCUCGUGUCGUGAGAUGUUGGGUUAAGUCCCGCAACGAGCGCAACCCUUGAUCUUAGUUGCCAGCAUUCAGUUGGGCACUCUAAGGUGACUGCCGGUGACAAACCGGAGGAAGGUGGGGAUGACGUCAAAUCAUCAUGCCCCUUAUGACCUGGGCUACACACGUGCUACAAUGGACAGAACAAAGGGCAGCGAAACCGCGAGGUUAAGCCAAUCCCACAAAUCUGUUCUCAGUUCGGAUCGCAG
Molecule: ribosomal RNA, 1190 nt
Filed under: Bacillus subtilis
Lineage: Bacteria; Bacillati; Bacillota; Bacilli; Caryophanales; Bacillaceae
Description: bacterial SSU rRNA
Rfam family: Bacterial small subunit ribosomal RNA
Source: RNAcentral